UGGGGGAUAUUGCACAAUGGGCGCAAGCCUGAUGCAGCGACGCCGCGUGGGGGAUGAAGGCCUUCGGGUUGUAAACUUCUUUUGCUCUGAACAAGGCGCACUUUGGGGUGUGUUGAGUGUAGGGGUUGAUUAGCGCCGGCUAACUACGUGCCAGCAGCCGCGGUAAUACGUAGGGCGCGAGCGUUGUCCGGAAUUAUUGGGCGUAAAGGGCUUGUAGGUGGCUGGUUGCGUCUGUCGUGAAAGCUCAUGGCUUAACUGUGGGUUUGCGGUGGGUACGGGCUGGCUUGAGUGCAGUAGGGGGGGCUGGAAUUCCUGGUGUAGCGGUGGAAUGCGCAGAUAUCAGGGGGGAUACCGGUGGCGAAGGCGGGUCUCUGGGCUGUUACUGACACUGAGGAGCGAAAGCAUGGGGAGCGAACAGG
Molecule: ribosomal RNA, 419 nt
Filed under: bacterium
Lineage: Bacteria
Description: partial 16S ribosomal RNA
Rfam family: Bacterial small subunit ribosomal RNA
Source: RNAcentral